UUUAAUAGGAAAAAUGAAAUAAUACUAAAAAAUUGUCAAAAAAGAACAAUUUCUGGCAUGGUGUUGAUUUAUGGGUAUAUAAACUUGGGAUAAAAUUGCAGGUUCAUACAGAAAAUCAACACAUUGUAUGUAAAAAUAAUUACUUAUCAUUUUUUAGAGACGUUUAAUAGACAAAAAUGAAAUAAUACCUAAACUUUGCCGAAAAUUAGUUAGUUUUGCCAUGGUGUCAUGUUAUAGGUAUCUAAACAUGGGAUCAACAUUACAAGUCAAAAUAAAAAAAUAAUAAACUUAGAAAAUCCUUGGCUAAACAUACAAAUAGAAAAAACAAACACAAAAAUAUGUCUUUUCCUGACCGAGCCACGGAUCGAUGACGUGGCAACAUCCAAGCCGCACAUCUCUCUCCCUGCACAUCUCUGCCUCGUGUUAUCUCUCUCGGUCUCUCCCCAAUAUGCACAUCUCCCUCUCGGUCCCUCCACCUCUCUGCCUUCUAAGUUCUCUCCACCUCACGGCAGCGACGGGCUGGGCGGGGGGGGCUGCGGCGCGACGACAGCACGACGGAAACGGGC
Molecule: long non-coding RNA, 566 nt
Filed under: Brachypodium distachyon (stiff brome)
Lineage: Eukaryota; Viridiplantae; Streptophyta; Magnoliopsida; Poales; Poaceae
Description: long non-coding RNA (BDIS_LNC004685)
Source: RNAcentral